Pyrus x bretschneideri (Chinese white pear) is the source of this 505-nucleotide long non-coding RNA. RefSeq lists it as uncharacterized. NCBI's taxonomy places the organism in Eukaryota, Viridiplantae, Streptophyta, Magnoliopsida, Rosales, Rosaceae. The transcript has 3 exons. The record is from RefSeq and is a predicted model, not a curated record.
GGAAGAAAAAAAUAAUAUAUAUAACAGAACUUUCAUUUCGUCUAGUUUCCCAAAUAAUAAAAUUAUUUUAUUAUGGAUUGUGCCAUUGUUUGUCAGUUUAGAUAGAUGAUUUGGUAUUCUCAAAAUUUAGAGGUGUAUCCAUAGAAAAAAGAAAAAGGAAAAAAAGGGGGAUACUUACGUUACUAGGCAAGGAGAAAAAGGGGGAAAUGAUGUUCUAGAAACUCUUUUUAUGGGUGCUCUCCUCUCCAGCCGAGAGUGAGAGGCCUUUUUAGUUCUUUUGGCUACCAAAGUUCUCAAAGAAGAAGAAGUUAAUAUCCAGUUAUUUUGCUGGACAAGUGAGGUUUUUUUCUCUGUCUUUAUUAGAGUGUGUGAUGACUUUCCUUACUUAUGGAUAAGGACGAGAAGGACAAGGUGACUGCUGAACAAGUCGACAAACACCAUGGGAGUUGAAUAUCAAGAAAUUGUGUUGAGGCCAGAUCCAUCAUUUUUCUUGCAAACAAAGAAA